GUCUUCAUUAGAGAAAUGAUUGAGUCUAGAACAUCAUCUUUGAAAAGUGGGCCAAGAACCUGGUGUUUUGCCUUUUCUUCAUUAGGAAAUUGGAAAUGUUUAAUGGUAUGAUGGUUUAUGAAGUUUGAAACUUUCUUAAGUUCAUCAGAGAUCAUUUGGCAGAAGUUGGCUGAAGACAUUUUUGUAAUAAAAAUGGGCUUCCGAAUUCGAGAGAAACUUGGAACUUGAGGAUAAAAUGGUAGAGUUUUUAGGAUUUCUGGAAAGCGUGAAGAAAAAUGAAGAAGGAAUGGGUUUAUGUAGACAAAAGAAGGGGGACAGUUCGAGAUUUUAAUAUUUUUUAAGUGGUUCCCCUAAUCAUCAUGAAUUCUAGAAAUUGGAAAAGUUUAAGCCGUCAUUAAAACAUCCUACUACACACGAGGGUGGCGUAUCCCGAUUUUCUAGGCACAUCUAUUGUGGAGCCAAAAAUAAUCAAGAAGAAUAUGUGACGACACAUGAAUUUUUAGGUAAAUAAGACAAAAUUACCCUCGAGGCACACCGGAACUUCCACACGUAAGAAGCGGACAAUCACGACUCAAUCAAGGUCAAGAGUGAUCAAAAUAUGUAUUUAUUCAAAACAUAUUUCAUCCAUUUUUAUCAAAUCAUCCCCACAAGGUAACCCUCAAUUAUUCAUUCAAAUUAGGAUUAAUUACUUAAAUUAAUUGAUUAAUUUCCUAAUUAAUUAAUCAAUUUCCUAUUUGAUUGCAAAAUAUUUUGACAUAAUAUCUUGCAAUUACACCCAAAAACCACCAUAAGUGGCUGGAUCAGGAAGAAGAAGGCAGAAAUUUGCAUCCACAAAUUGGUGUUUUCAUUGAGAGUCUUGAUUUAUACACUCGUAGAAAACUUUCACAUUCAAGGUUUCUAAUUUCUUGUUCAUUUGUAGAUUUUUCGUACAUUCUUAUUCUUGGAAUUUUUGUUUAUAAAAAUUCUUUGAUAAGACCUAAAAGAAAAUUACAAUGACUAGAAAUUCGGAAACUACAAUGAAUGGAACUAUACAAUGACUAGAAAUUCGGAAACUACAAUGAAUGGAACUUCCAACAUUCAAGAAUUUGGACCACGGCGAUUUACGAGGCUCAAGAGAAUAAUGAGUGGAGCGGCACCACCCCUACGGGGCACCACCGUGACAACCACCAUGGUAGCAACCACGACAGCAACUCUUGGCGAGCCCACUGCCCACGAGGAGUAGGCCACCUCGCAGCAUCAGGCCCAAGUCCGUGCCACCGUGACAACCACCCCCAUAGGAGAACAUGUAAAGAAGAUCAAUUCAAAAGGAAAGCAUGCUAGUUUUGCAAGGAAGACACUUUGGUAUAUCUCAAGUUCUAGUAUUCCUUAUCCAUCCUUUCAUAACCUCUACCAUAAAAACCUUACAUUACAACCUUAUGAAAGACCUAGCUGAUCUUUGAAGAUGUAUUCAUGGAUGUUAGUAAGUAUGUUUGCUAUCCUAUUCUUAGUAUUUGAUUCCUUUCAUAAGAUCUGUCCAGAAAGUUCUUUUGUUUCUAAUUGAAUUAUGUGUGAGAAUAUGUUGCUUUCCAUUACAUAACCUCACUCACAUAUACUUGUUGAGAGCAAGCCCUAGGAAUCAAGUGAAAGAGUGAAUCUGUGAGAUUAGAAUUGAGACGAAUCUUAUCUUUCUUGCUUGAGCUUGUACCUUAGUAAUAGGUUGAAUUUAAGCUAGAACACCUCGCUAACAUGCAGAUUUGAUUGCUGGAAAGGUAAAGUCAAAGUUAGGAAUGUAAGGCAUAGUUGAGCUUUGAUUCUUAUUAUCUUAUUUCAAAAGUGCUCUAAUCGUUAUUUUGUAGGUUGUUUAGGACGUUUAUGGGUACCAUCAUUGUUAAACCCUUAGGAGACACAACUCAUCCUACUAGGGAUGCCUAGAGGUUUAAAGGCUUGAUGCAUAAGCUGAAGGCAUUCGUCUCACCAACGGAAUUGGUCUUAGAUUAACUUAUGUUUGUCUUUUGUGUUGCUUUUGUUUCUUUUAGUUUUGGUUUGCUCGAGGACUAACAAAAUCUAAGUUUGGGGGUAUUUAUUGAGUGCAUAAAGUUAUAUUUUUAUGCCCUCUUUUACUUAGGUUUUUUACUUAAAAUCUCUAUGCAUCACAAGGUAUUUUGUUGUUUGUAUUGUAUUUCAGAAUGAAAGUAAGGGCUUGAAGAAAUCAUCUUAUUUUGAAUAUUUUAAGAGCUUAGAAUGGAUAGUUUGAAGCCCAACUCACCCAAGACCGGAUCAUAGCCCACAAGUAGCCUAAGAUCUGCCAGAAAAGGCCCUUGCAGAAUAGCCAAUUGCGAGCUUUGCCCUGAAGUGCUCAGAGCGAAUUAGAAAAUGGGCUAUAUAUGGUUGGAAAUCCCUGGAAGUCUUCUUUCUGAUGGUCUUUACAUAUUGUAAUUUGGAGGUUUCGACAAGAAGUUAUGACAGAAUAAAGAGGAGCUGUUCAGAUACAAAUUCUGAUAACAGCUAGUUUUCAGUCACUCCUAUACUAAAAGCUGAUUGUAAUGAGCUAUAAAUAAGAGUCAAUUCAAGGAUGUAAAUGUGUCAGAUGUUAGAAAAACUCCUAAGCCUUUUAAUAGGAGAAACAUACACAGAAUCAGAAGGAGAAAGAAAAGGAGAAAAAAAAGAAAGAAAAAACACAGAAUCUGGAGAAAGCAGGAAUCUUUAUCCUUAAGCAGUUUCUAGGUUCGAGCUUUCCUUUUAUGUAUUUUGUUAUGUUUUUAAUUUAGUUUAUGGAUACUUAGGGCUGCUUUGAAGCCCUAGAUAUGAUUGAAUUAAUGUUAUGAUGCAGUUUUAGGUUAUCAAUUUCAUUUGCAAGCUAGUAUAAGUUUUCUGUCUCAAUUAUUUAAAGCACAUAUAUUCAAGCUUAGCUACCUUGUUUAUGUUUGCUUUCUAUUAAGAUGAUAAGGAUGACUGUCAUAUCUUCUUUCAUUCCUUAGCAACAUGUGGUUAGGUUCAGAACUAAUCAUGUAAAUUGAUUCCAUGAAGUUCUAGGGUAAAUGUCAUGUUCUAGGGUUCAUGUAAUGUUCAUAAUCCUCUUCGUUCUUAAUGAGUUUCUAGGUCUUAAAUCUGAGUAUAUGCCAUGCUAGGUUGCAUCUACAAAUAUAAGUUGUAUGUAUAUGCCAUGCAUCUAACAUGCAAAGUAAGAGAUGAUUCAUACAAUCUAGUUAUAUGCCAUGCUAGAUAUGUGAACAUCUUAGUUGUGCAUUUGAAAUGGAUAAGUUAAAAGAUCAUCUCAUUGAUUCAUGAAUGUUUAGGGUAGGGGAAGGCCUUAGCUCAUUUUAAGUCAGAUUUAUGUCCUAAAAACGUUUCUAACUUAUUUCAUGCAUUAGGUUUAUUUUUAGAUAGUUCUAAUUUUUCACUUCUCUUUCUAUCUUAUUUCUUUUCCAAAAUUACUCAAACCCCCCAUUUUAAGUCAUAGGAGUCAUUAACUAAUGCUAAUUUGUAAGAGUCAAAGGUUUUACUAAGUUGUUUCUCAGUCCCUGUGGUUCGAUACCCUUACUUGUGUCGUUGUACUAUCCUUAUAUUUCCACUUGAAAGGAACUUCAACACAGCAGCAUGCCCAAGCCUGUGCCAUAAGGUAGCGAGCCCAUAUUCAAGCCCACGGUGCUACAUUGGCAACAGAGGCCCAAGCAGCUGCAGCAAUAGGAGUAGC
RNAcentral lists this long non-coding RNA (3673 nucleotides) under Malus domestica (apple). RNAcentral's name for it is "long non-coding RNA (MDOM_LNC010588)". Lineage: Eukaryota; Viridiplantae; Streptophyta; Magnoliopsida; Rosales; Rosaceae. The record is from RNAcentral.